UACGUAGGGUGCGAGCGUUUAAUCGGAAUUACUGGGCGUAAAGCGUGCGCAGGCGGUUUUGUAAGCCAGAUGUGAAAUCCCCGGGCUUAACCUGGGAAUGGCAUUUGGGACUGCAAGGCUGGAGUGCGGCAGAGGAGACUGGAAUUCCUGGUGUAGCAGUGAAAUGCGUAGAUAUCAGGAGGAAUACCGAUGGCGAAGGCAGGUCUCUGGGCUGACACUGACGCUCAUGCACGAAAGCGUGGGGAGCAAACAGG
RNAcentral lists this ribosomal RNA (254 nucleotides) under uncultured bacterium. Its description in RNAcentral is "partial 16S ribosomal RNA". It matches the Rfam family "Bacterial small subunit ribosomal RNA", at positions 524 to 776 of the family's 1533-position model. The record is from RNAcentral.